This 946-nucleotide long non-coding RNA is filed under the name Marmota monax (woodchuck). Lineage: Eukaryota; Metazoa; Chordata; Mammalia; Rodentia; Sciuridae. The record is from RNAcentral.
CGCUACCCAAACAAUUUGGGCUCCUUAACCUUGCUGCAGCCGGAGGCUUCCUGGUCCUGCUAGGUUCAGGCAGAACACCCGGCGCGCGCGUGCACGCGUGUACACACACACACACACACACACACAGCCGUGGCGUCGCCGCCUGGCUGGCCCCCGCCCUUAGGGACUAGUGCAGCGACCGCUGCGCCCAGCGCUGCCAACCAAGAAGCCCCACCAGCCGGGGCUGCGCCGCCCAGUGUCCCCGAGUGAGCCCCGCGCGCGUGCCGCGCCGCUGUCGCUCGCUCUGUGUUGACGGCGAGCGCGGCGGACACGCACGCUGUCUGCUCGCUGGGCUCCCUGCCCCUUCCCCGCCUCGGCUCCGGCUUUUUGUUGAAAGCAGCACUUCCACCAUCCGGCUUUUUUUAUUUUCUCCCUUCGUUGGCGGCUACUGAAAAGAGUUGAUUGGUAUUGGAUCCGCUGGGGAGCGGAGUGAAGGUGGGGAAACGGAAGACCUGGAAGAAUCUCCUCUUCAGAAAGGCAUCUCCGCCCAGUCGCCAGCCAGCCCAGCCUCUACUUUAAUCCUCGCCAGGACAAUGGAUUAAGUUACUCUUCCUGGGCAGAAGUCGGUUUCAGAUUCCGGGCAAAAUGAAGGAAAAGGCGAUGAUCAAGACGGCUAAAAUGCAGGGGAACGUGAUGGUGAGUGUGGACGGCGGGCGCGCGGGAUCUGGGGACCCGCAGUGAGGGGCAUGGAGGGGUGUCUGUCCUCGUCGGUCCCUAAUUCCACGGAAUGACGUCCACCUGGUACCCGUGCAGCAGCGCUUCCACCGCUUGCCUGUGGCGCCCCGGGUGGGUGCCAAGGAUCACGCGUUUAUUUGCAAAUACCAACUUGAUGGCUUCGCGAUCGCUCUCCUUUGGGCAUGUGGCUUUGUGUCUUUGAGCACAGACUGCGAUGGAGCCCUUGCUGGCC